GACGAACGCUGGCGGCGUGCCUAAUACAUGCAAGUUGAGCGCUGAAGGUUGGUACUUGUACCGACUGGAUGAGCAGCGAACGGGUGAGUAACGCGUGGGGAAUCUGCCUUUGAGCGGGGGACAACAUUUGGAAACGAAUGCUAAUACCGCAUAAAAACUUUAAACACAAGUUUUAAGUUUGAAAGAUGCAAUUGCAUCACUCAAAGAUGAUCCCGCGUUGUAUUAGCUAGUUGGUGAGGUAAAGGCUCACCAAGGCGAUGAUACAUAGCCGACCUGAGAGGGUGAUCGGCCACAUUGGGACUGAGACACGGCCCAAACUCCUACGGGAGGCAGCAGUAGGGAAUCUUCGGCAAUGGACGAAAGUCUGACCGAGCAACGCCGCGUGAGGGAAGAAGGGUUUCGGAUCGUAAAACUCUGUUGGUAGAGAAGAACGUUGGUGAGAGUGGAAAGCUCAUCAAGUGACGGUAACUACACAGAAAGGGACGGCUAACUACGUG
RNAcentral lists this ribosomal RNA (497 nucleotides) under uncultured bacterium. Its description in RNAcentral is "partial 16S ribosomal RNA". It matches the Rfam family "Bacterial small subunit ribosomal RNA", at positions 28 to 507 of the family's 1533-position model. The record is from RNAcentral.